GGAGGAAAAGAAACCAACAGGGAUUGCCCCAGUAACGGCGAGUGAAGCGGCAAGAGCUCAAAUUUGAAAGCUGGCCCCCUCGGGGUCCGCAUUGUAAUUUGCAGAGGAUGCUUCGGGAGUGGCCCCCAUCUAAGUGCUCUGGAACGGGCCGUCAUAGAGGGUGAGAAUCCCGUAUGGGAUGGGGUGUCCGCGACCAUGUGAAGCUCCUUCGACGAGUCGAGUUGUUUGGGAAUGCAGCUCUAAAUGGGUGGUAAAUUUCAUCUAAAGCUAAAUAUUGGCCGGAGACCGAUAGCGCACAAGUAGAGUGAUCGAAAGAUGAAAAGCACUUUGAAAAGAGAGUUAAAAAGCACGUGAAAUUGUUGAAAGGGAAGCGCUUGCGACCAGACUCGCCUACGGGGUUCAGCCGGUAUUCGUACCGGUGUACUUCCCCGUGGGCGGGCCAGCGUCGGUUUGGGCGGCCGGUCAAAGGCCUUCGGAAUGUAACGCCUCUCGGGGCGUCUUAUAGCCGAGGGUGCCAUGCGGCCAGCCCGGACCGAGGAACGCGCUUCGGCACGGACGCUGGCAUAAUGGUCGUAAGCGACCCGUCUU
Molecule: ribosomal RNA, 588 nt
Filed under: Penicillium sp. MZKI P-265
Lineage: Eukaryota; Fungi; Ascomycota; Eurotiomycetes; Eurotiales; Aspergillaceae
Description: eukaryotic LSU rRNA
Rfam family: Eukaryotic large subunit ribosomal RNA
Source: RNAcentral